This 440-nucleotide ribosomal RNA is filed under the name uncultured bacterium. RNAcentral's name for it is "partial 16S ribosomal RNA". It matches the Rfam family "Bacterial small subunit ribosomal RNA", at positions 338 to 795 of the family's 1533-position model. The record is from RNAcentral.
CCUACGGGUGGCAGCAGUGGGGAAUAUUGCACAAUGGAGGCAACCCUGAUGCAGCGACGCCGCGUGAGUGAAGAAGGAAUUCGUUAUGUAAAGCUCUAUCAGCAGGGAAGAAAAUGACGGUACCUGAGUAAGAAGCCCCGGCUAACUACGUGCCAGCAGCCGCGGUAAUACGUAGGGGGCAAGCGUUAUCCGGAUUUACUGGGUGGAAAGGGAGCGUAGACGGGAGUGCAAGUCUGGAGUGAAAGGCGGGGGCUCAACCCCCGGACUGCACUUGAAACUGUACGGCUGGAGUGCAGGAGCGGUAGGUGGAAUUCAUGGUGUAGCGGUGAAAUGCGUAGAUAUUAGGAGGAACACCAGUGGCGAAGGCGGCUUACUGGACUGUAACUGACGUUGAGGCUCGAAAGUGUGGGGAGCAAACAGGAUUAGAUACCCGGGUAGUC